GACGGGUCUUGGGCUCAGGCAACAUAAUUUUAACCUUAACACCAAGAACACCUUGACGAAGGAGAACGUGGCGAGUAGCAGAGUCAAUGAAAUCAACAGCAGGUUGACCAGAGUGGAUCAUGAAACCGUCGGCAAAUUUCAUGGACUUGGCACGAGCAGCACGGAGCUUACCGGAGAUGACAACCUCACAACCCUUGGCACCAGCCUCCAUAACAUAACGAAGGACACCAUAGGCGGCACGACGAACAGCCAAACCAGCCAAAAGCUUGUA
This is a non-coding RNA of Schizosaccharomyces pombe (fission yeast), 271 nucleotides long. Lineage: Eukaryota; Fungi; Ascomycota; Schizosaccharomycetes; Schizosaccharomycetales; Schizosaccharomycetaceae. The record is from the annotation of a GenBank genome assembly.